This 77-nucleotide transfer RNA is filed under the name Candidatus Nanopelagicaceae bacterium. RNAcentral describes it as "tRNA-Val". It matches the Rfam family "tRNA". Rfam says of the family: Transfer RNA (tRNA) molecules are approximately 80 nucleotides in length. Their secondary structure includes four short double-helical elements and three loops (D, anti-codon, and T loops). Further hydrogen bonds mediate the characteristic L-shaped molecular structure. tRNAs have two regions of fundamental functional importance: the anti-codon, which is responsible for specific mRNA codon recognition, and the 3' end, to which the tRNAs corresponding amino acid is attached (by aminoacyl-tRNA synthetases). tRNAs cope with the degeneracy of the genetic code in two manners: having more than one tRNA (with a specific anti-codon) for a particular amino acid; and 'wobble' base-pairing, i.e. permitting non-standard base-pairing at the 3rd anti-codon position. The record is from RNAcentral. Lineage: Bacteria; Bacillati; Actinomycetota; Actinomycetes; Candidatus Nanopelagicales; Candidatus Nanopelagicaceae.
GCUGGUGUGGCGUAAUGGUUAGCGUAUUAACUCUUACCAAGUUAGAGGUACGGGUUCGAUUCCCGUCACCAGUUCCG